This 784-nucleotide ribosomal RNA is filed under the name Candidatus Saccharimonadota bacterium. RNAcentral's name for it is "bacterial SSU rRNA". It matches the Rfam family "Bacterial small subunit ribosomal RNA", at positions 1 to 826 of the family's 1533-position model. Lineage: Bacteria; Candidatus Saccharimonadota. The record is from RNAcentral.
UGGAGAGUUUGAUCCUGGCUCAGGAUGAACGCUGGCGGCGUGCCUAACACAUGCAAGUCGUGCGGUAAGGCCCUUCGGGGUACACGAGCGGCGGACGGCUGAGUAACGCGUGGGAACGUGCCCCAAAGUGAGGGAUAAGCACCAGAAAUGGUGUCUAAUACCGCAUAUGGUCUUCGGAUUAAAGCUUCGGCGCUUUGGGAGCGGCCUGCGUACGAUUAGAUUGUUGGUGAGGUAAAGGCUCACCAAGUCGACGAUCGUUAACUGGUCUGAGAGGAUGAUCAGUCAGACUGGAACUGAGACACGGUCCAGACUCCUACGGGAGGCAGCAGUGAGGAAUCUUCCACAAUGGGGGCAACCCUGAUGGAGCAACGCCGCGUGAAGGAUGAAGGCCCUCGGGUUGUAAACUUCUUUUAUGAGCGAAGAAUAUGACGGUAACUCAUGAAUAAGGGUCGGCUAACUACGUGCCAGCAGCCGCGGUCAUACGUAGGACCCAAGCGUUAUCCGGAGUGACUGGGCGUAAAGAGUUGCGUAGGCGGUUAGUAAAGCGAAUAGUGAAAGAUGAUGGCUCAACCAUCAGAACAUUGUUCGAACUCACUAACUCGAGAAUGGUAGAGGUAGCUGGAAUUUCCUGUGUAGGAGUGAAAUCCGUAGAUAUAGGAAGGAACACCAAUGGCGUAGGCAGGCUACUGGACCAUUUCUGACGCUGAGGCACGAAAGCGUGGGGAGCGAACCGGAUUAGAUACCCGGGUAGUCCACGCCGUAAACGAUGGAUGCUAGCUGUGGG